AGCGGCGGAUGGGUGAGUAACACGUGGGGAACCUGCCCCUAAGUCUGGGAUACCAUUUGGAAACAGGUGCUAAUACCGGAUAAUAAAGCAGAUCGCAUGAUCAGCUUUUGAAAGGCGGCGUAAGCUGUCGCUAAGGGAUGGCCCCGCGGUGCAUUAGCUAGUUGGUAAGGUAACGGCUUACCAAGGCGACGAUGCAUAGCCGAGUUGAGAGACUGAUCGGCCACAUUGGGACUGAGACACGGCCCAAACUCCUACGGGAGGCAGCAGUAGGGAAUCUUCCACAAUGGACGCAAGUCUGAUGGAGCAACGCCGCGUGAGUGAAGAAGGUUUUCGGAUCGUAAAGCUCUGUUGUUGGUGAAGAAGGAUAGAGGUAGUAACCGGCCUUUAUUUGACGGUAAUCAACCAGAAAGUCACGGCUAACUACGUGCCAGCAGCCGCGGUAAUACGUAGGUGGCAAGCGUUGUCCGGAUUUAUUGGGCGUAAAGCGAGCGCAGGCGGAAAAAUAAGUCUAAUGUGAAAGCCCUCGGCUUAACCGAGGAACUGCAUCGGAAACUGUUUUUCUUGAGUGCAGAAGAGGAGAGUGGAACUCCAUGUGUAGCGGUGGAAUGCGUAGAUAUAUGGAAGAACACCAGUGGCGAAAGGCGGCUCUCUGGUCUGCAACUGACGCUGAGGCUCGAAAGCAUGGGUAGCGAACAGGAUUAGAUACCCUGGUAGUCCAUGCCGUAAACGAUGAGUGCUAAGUGU
RNAcentral lists this ribosomal RNA (744 nucleotides) under uncultured bacterium. Its description in RNAcentral is "bacterial SSU rRNA". It matches the Rfam family "Bacterial small subunit ribosomal RNA", at positions 94 to 823 of the family's 1533-position model. The record is from RNAcentral.